This 497-nucleotide ribosomal RNA is filed under the name uncultured bacterium. RNAcentral's name for it is "partial 16S ribosomal RNA". It matches the Rfam family "Bacterial small subunit ribosomal RNA", at positions 28 to 507 of the family's 1533-position model. The record is from RNAcentral.
GAUGAACGCUGGCGGCGUGCCUAAUACAUGCAAGUCGAGCGAACGGACGAGAAGCUUGCUUCUCUGAUGUUAGCGGCGGACGGGUGAGUAACACGUGGAUAACCUACCUAUAAGACUGGGAUAACUUCGGGAAACCGGAGCUAAUACCGGAUAAUAUUUUGAACCGCAUGGUUCAAAAGUGAAAGACGGUCUUGCUGUCACUUAUAGAUGGAUCCGCGCUGCAUUAGCUAGUUGGUAAGGUAACGGCUUACCAAGGCAACGAUGCAUAGCCGACCUGAGAGGGUGAUCGGCCACACGGGAACUGAGCCACGGUCCAGACUCCUACGGGAGGCAGCAGUAGGGAAUCUUCCGCAAUGGGCGAAAGCCUGACGGAGCAACGCCGCGUGAGUGAUGAAGGUCUUCGGAUCGUAAAACUCUGUUAUUAGGGAAGAACAUAUGUGUAAGUAACUGUGCACAUCUUGACGGUACCUAAUCAGAAAGCCACGGCUAACUACGUG